RNAcentral lists this ribosomal RNA (601 nucleotides) under Alternaria brassicae. RNAcentral's name for it is "eukaryotic LSU rRNA". It matches the Rfam family "Eukaryotic large subunit ribosomal RNA", at positions 39 to 651 of the family's 3401-position model. Lineage: Eukaryota; Fungi; Ascomycota; Dothideomycetes; Pleosporales; Pleosporaceae. The record is from RNAcentral.
CAUAUCAAUAAGCGGAGGAAAAGAAACCAACAGGGAUUGCCCUAGUAACGGCGAGUGAAGCGGCAACAGCCCUCAAAUUUGAAAUCUGGCUCUUUUAGAGUCCGAGUUGUAAUUUGCAGAGGGCGCUUUGGCUUUGGCAGCGGUCCAAGUUCCUUGGAACAGGACGUCACAGAGGGUGAGAAUCCCGUACGUGGUCGCUGGCUAUUGCCGUGUAAAGCCCCUUCGACGAGUCGAGUUGUUUGGGAAUGCAGCUCUAAAUGGGAGGUACAUUUCUUCUAAAGCUAAAUAUUGGCCAGAGACCGAUAGCGCACAAGUAGAGUGAUCGAAAGAUGAAAAGCACUUUGGAAAGAGAGGGUCAAACAGCACGUGAAAUUGUUGAAAGGGAAGCGCUUGCAGCCAGACUUGCUUACAGUUGCUCAUCCGGGCUUUUGCCCGGUGCACUCUUCUGUAGGCAGGCCAGCAUCAGUUUGGGCGGUAGGAUAAAGGUCUCUGUCACGUACCUCCUUUCGGGGAGGCCUUAUAGGGGAGACGACAUACUACCAGCCUGGACUGAGGUCCGCGCAUCUGCUAGGAUGCUGGCGUAAUGGCUGUAAGCGGCAAU